This 524-nucleotide ribosomal RNA is filed under the name Urothemis assignata. Its description in RNAcentral is "partial 16S ribosomal RNA". It matches the Rfam family "Bacterial large subunit ribosomal RNA", at positions 1809 to 2609 of the family's 2925-position model. Lineage: Eukaryota; Metazoa; Arthropoda; Insecta; Odonata; Libellulidae. The record is from RNAcentral.
AAAAACAUGUCCUUUUGGUUUUAUUGAAGGUCUGACCUGCCCAGUGAUUAAAGUUUUAACGGCCGCGGUAUACUGACCGUGCAAAGGUAGCAUAAUCAUUAGUCUUUUAAUAGAGGGCUGGAAUGAAAGGUUUGACGAGGAACUGACUGUCUCACUUUAUUUGUUUUAAAAUUUAAUUUUUUAGUUAAAAAGCUAAAAUUUGAUUGGAAGACGAGAAGACCCUAUAGAUCUUUAUACAUUUUAUGUAAUUGUUUUUAUAUUAUUAUUUUAUAUUAAAAUUGUAUUUUGUUGGGGUGACAAAAAUAAUAAUUAACUUUUUUAUUAUCAUUACAUUUAUAUAUGAAUAUUAGAUCCAUUAUUAUUGAUUAUUAGAAUAAGUUACCUUAGGGAUAACAGCGUAAUCUUCCUCCAGAGUUCAUAUUUACAGGAAGGCUUGCGACCUCGAUGUUGGAUUAAGAUAAUAAUUAGGUGUAGCCGCUUAAUUUAUGGGUCUGUUCGACCUUUAAUUUCUUACAUGAUCUGAG